This 208-nucleotide ribosomal RNA is filed under the name uncultured bacterium. Its description in RNAcentral is "partial 16S ribosomal RNA". It matches the Rfam family "Bacterial small subunit ribosomal RNA", at positions 568 to 774 of the family's 1533-position model. The record is from RNAcentral.
CGCGCAGGCGGCCAGGUCAGUCGAAUGUGAAAGCCCCCGGCUCAACUGGGGAGGGUCAUUCGAUACUGCCUGGCUUGAAGAUAGGAGAGGGAAGUGGAAUUUCAGGUGUAGUGGUGAAAUGCGUAGAUAUCUGAAGGAACACCAGUGGCGAAGGCGACUUUCUGGCCUAUUCUUGACGCUGAGGCGCGAAAGCUAGGGGGAGCGAACG